UUUUGUCUUUUUGCUAUUUCUUUGGGCCGCUCCUGCGCCAUAUGGAGGUUCCCCGGCUAGGGGUCGAAUCGGAGCUGUAGCUGCCAGCCUACGCCGGAGCCACAGCAACGCGGGAUCCGAGCCACGUCUACAACCUACACCACAGCUCACGGCAACGCCGGAUCAUUAACCCACUGAGCAAGGGCAGGGAUCAAACCCGCAACCUCAUGGUUCCUAGUCGGAUUCGUUAACCACUGCGCCACGACGGGAACUCCCAUUUUUGAUUUUUUUAAAGGAAAAAAAAAAGGGAGUUCUUACUGUGGUACAGUGGACCGUGUGUUAAGAAUCUGACUGCAGUCGCUCGGGUCGCUGCAAAGGUGUGGGUUUAAUCCCCAGCCUGGGGCAGUGGGUUAAAGGAUCUGGCGUUGCUGUAGCUAGCAGGGUCACUCAGCCUUAGCACUAUCAACAUUUUGGACCAGACAAUGCUUUGUGGCAGAGGCCGUCUUGUGCAUUGUGGGAAAAUCAGCAGUGUUCCUUGGCACCCACUGGAUGCCAGUAGACCCCCAUCACCGUGGUUACAAACAAAAAAUGUCUCUAAAGAAUGUAACUAUCAUCCAAGGGCCAAUUGGCCUGAUUGAGGCAUACGGAGAGGAAUCCAUCUUCUUCCUCAGACUACCGUCUCUGCCGUGAACCCCAGGGUCAGAAAUAGCAGGGCCAACUCCACUCACGACUCCUCGUCUAAUGCUGGGAACUUGUCCUCCUGGCAGCCGCUACACUUGGCUUUGUGUCCUUUCUCAACCAACCACGACUGGAGAUUAACAGGCCAGUUAGCAUUGGGCUAAGUGCUAACCAAGCAGGGCUGUUCUUUUUCCUCCUUAGCAGCAGGCCAGGGCCAGAUUCACCUUUCCCUUCCAGGGGCCCCUGAUCUCUGGAAGCAUAUGCUCCCUGGGGGAAGGGAAGCUCUUCCCACCCAGCCGCAUCACGCCAAGCCCUGCUGUGAGCUCCAAAGGUGCUGAGUGUCCCAGCUUUGCUACAACUCUGUUGUCUCACGUGGUCUCUGGGAGCAUCUUCAGUGCCCUGCAUCAGCCACGUCAGCCUUCUUAGGCUGCAUUUAGCCUACCACACACAAAAAGCUCUGUGCAGCGGUUUGCAAAGCAGCCAAGGGAUCAGGCCCCUGUUCUGGAGAUGCCCGCUGUCUUUCCAGAUGGUACACCAGGAAAAAGAACAAAAAUAAAUCCAUCAUGCACCGUGCAAAAACCACAUCAUAUUUUAGACUCCACAUAUAAGUGAUGUCAGAUGGUGUUUGUCUUUCUCUUUCCAACUUACUUCACUUAGUCUUAGAAUCUCUAGUUCCAUCCGUGUUGCUGCAAAUAGCAUUAUUGUGUACUUUUUAAUGGCUGAAUAGUAUUCCAUUGUAUAUCUGUACCACAUCAGCUUAAUCCAUUCACCUGUCAAUAGACAUUUGAUUUGUUGCCCUAAACUAUGGCACAAAUAAUCUACAAAGCAGAAACAGAUCACGGAUGUGGAGGGCAGACCUGCAUUUGCUAGCCGGGAGGGAGAGGGAGGGGGACAGCUGGGGAGUUUGGGGUUGGUAGAUGCACACUGUUACAGUUAGAAUGGAUGGGUGAUGGGGUCCUGCUGUAAAGCACAGGAAACUCUGUUCGGUCUCUUGGGUUAGAACAUAAUGGAAAAAAGAAGAAUUGUGUGUGUAUAGGUGGCUGGGUCACUUUGCUGUACAGCAGAAAUUGAAGGAGUAUUGUAAAUCAACUAUACUAAAAAAAUUAAAAAAAGAAAAAACAACCCACAUGGUGGCUGGAGUCACCACGUCUUCCCUCCCUCAACGGCGGGAAUGAGGAGGAAAGAAUUCUGGCCUCCCCAUCUCAGCCAUUCAGUUACCUACAAGUCAGCUAAUUAGAGACACCACCGCUCAGCGGAAACCAAGACAUAAUUCAAAUGAAGGCAGCCAAGCCCAGCUCCCCCAUCUAACACGGGAUAAUUCACUUUUUAUUGUUGUUAUUCAUCAUUACUAAUCCUGAUUAUUAGUCCUGAUUAGCAAGGUGCUUUUUAUGCUAAAUAACCCUUAGGAGAAUCACGCCCAGUAGGCACAUCCAAAUUGAAUGGGGAAGAGCCGGAAUAAUUACCAUUUUGCAACUUGAGGCUGUCAGAAAUGAGUGUUACCUGCUCAGACCACGGUGAAUCAAGAGUCUAGCUGGUCCUCUAUUUUGGGUCUGAACCCAAAGGCAAUGCUACCCAAUGAGGUCCUAUCAUGUGACGUGCAAGUUCAGGCUUUGUGAAUUAUCAAACGUCUCCCCCUUGUCUGGGGAAAUGAAUUUCCAAAUCCAAACACGUGGCAAGUCCAAAUGUGAACCCCAGUUUUAUGUGACUUCUUUCCCAAGCCCCAGAUCCAGCAUUAGUUUGAUGGAGCUCUUUUCAUUUUUUUUUACAAAAUAAUUUUACAAAAUAUUAUUUUCAACAAAAUAGAAAAUAAACUUGCAAUCACAUCUCUGGUGGGAAAAAUGAAUCCGUGUGUUUUUGCUUCAUUUGCAAUUUAAUCACCACACUGUUUUUAAAUCAUCCUUUGGUGAUAUGGAGCCUAUUUAGCCUUAAUGAGCUUUGGGAAAACGGAAGGGGUUUUUUUAUAGAAUAAUUUCUAUUUCAAAAUGAUAUACCAACAAUACAUAAGGUUUAGAAAAGAGAGAAAAACACACAGAAUCCCACUAUCCAAACAAUAUUUGAGGGUACCCCCUCCUUGCAGUGGAUAAGCAAUUUUAACGAGAUGCUCAGUGGAUGAAAGAAGCUAAUCCAAUCAGGAUUUUAGGAGGAGGGCUGGGGGCUUGUUGCCUGAGAAAAUCAAAGCAUGAACUAGCCCCAACUGGGAAGGUGCAUUUUGAAGGAGUUUAGGAAAAACUCACUGUCAUCCCAUUUGUUUAGGCUGGAACACAGUAAAAAAAUCUUCCCCCUCCUGUCCCGCUCUGUUACACGCUUUCAAUGUCCUCCUGCCUCUUCCCUGAUGGAAGGCUUCCUCCUUUAUCUCCAGCUGUCCCAUCAAGGCUGCAUGCUGCCCAGGCCAGACUAGGCAUCUGUGUGCACCCCGGGUGGGCCUCCAACCCCACCAACUGCCGCUGCUCCCCAGAAAGCAAAAACCACAGUGUGGACCCCAGAGUCCCUCAGUCCCUUUGCAGAACAGCCCUGCUAAGGUGAGCCUUCUCACGGACAGGAUGCAGAAGGAUGCCCUGCAGAAGUCUCUUAUACACAGCCCAAGGUGGAAGUGUGGCCACCAUUGGGGUUUUUAAAACUACUUGUCAUUAUAAACAACUUGAGAAUAACCGAAUCAUCUGGAGUUAGAGCACAAAGACGAGUCGAGGGUCUGGGGUUCAUCACAUCCACCCAAAUCCGACCCUUCAGUCCCCAAACACCUUCUCACACAGUAUCAGGACUGGCAUCUCCCAAGUCGUUUUUUCAGUCCUGAAUGCAGCUCUGAACUGAUUGAGUUGAACUUAGAUCAACAGAGGAAAAAAAAGGAAAAAAAAAAAAAAAAAAACCACUCCCCCACAUCCAGCCACCUCACACGUGCACAUUUUCUUCUGUCGUCCUCCACCCAGGGUCUUCUGUCUCCCAGACUUCCACACACUUGAAAGGAUAACAUGCAUCAGAGGAAAUUCAGAACACUCAUCCCAACCUGCGGUGUGUGUGUGUGUGUGUGUGUGUGUGAUGCCUGGUGGGCUAUGACACACAGGCAGUGACCCGGUCCUCCAAUCCCUGCCAGGAACAAAGCCCGUCACCCCAAACCUCCUGGGAUGACUGUCUCAGACCAGAUGCCUACAUGGAGCAAGGAUAAGUAUAGCGUUUCCUCUCUCUCACUCUGUCUCCCUCUCUCCCUUAACCAAAAUACCAUCUGACUUUUUACUUUGAAAACAGAGAGUGGGGAUACCAAUGUGUAAGUACAAUGCAUGCCUAAAAAUAUGUGUGGACUUAAAAAAAGGAUGAAGAACCUGAGAAGAGUCCAAUAAACGAGAUCCCAGAAUCCAGCGCUCCAAAGUUGAGAAAGGAUAUCGUAUUUGAUUGUGCUUGCCACGGUUUUACAUCUUCCAAAAAUGCUAUGGUACAUAGCUCCCUUGUCUCCAGUCAGCAUCUCUAAGAGUGUUUGUAUCUACAUGUUCCUGCUCUGAAAAUAUCACAGAUCCUGGACUCUCCAAGACACCCCAGACACCAGUCAUCUCUGCUGGUGCCUGACUCAUCAUUCAGUCACCGUAUAUCUCACAUGGCCAGGAAGGAAGGAUGGAAGAAGAGGGGGGCGAAGGGGAAGAAGAGAAGGAAGGAAGGAAGGGAAGGAAGAGAAAGAGAGAAAGAAAAAAAGAAAAACGGAAAAGAAAGAGAUCCAUUCCCCACUUUACUCUGUGGUGACUAAGGAAUCCAAGACCGUCUCUUAAGCUGCCCACAUCUGGAAAGAUGGGAGUAAAGUCAGUCUGAUUUGGGUGAGGCAGGAGAAGAGGAAGCAGACAAGGAAGCUCAUCUCCAAGAUGGGGCAGCAAAUGUUUUUUCUGGAGCUGAAGAAGAGACAGUCAGAAGGAUCCAAUCUCAUUAAAGCAGCAACUCAACAACCUCAAGAAGAUAGGGACCCGGAUCUGGAGCUAUGGCUGCAAAUCCAAGCCGCUGCUUUCUGCCCUAGAGUUCAAAGAACCACUCUCUCCUGGCUUUCCUUGGAUGGCUCUGCAUCUCAAGCCCCUACGGUGUUGCCCAGGUUGUUCAUGUGGCACCCCUCAACACCCCCCACCCAGGGCCUCUUCACUUCACGCUCUUUGGGGUCAAGCCACAGGCAGGGUUCAAUUACCGUCUUUGUGCUGAGGAUUUCCAAAUAUCCAUCUCCAGUGCAUGUCCUCAGCUGCUUCAUUUCCAUAGAUGCCUCACAGCUACCAAGAGUCAGCUCCUGCUUCUCCCCGACAAGCCCGUGCAUCCCCAGACUCCCAGUGUCAGAAGUUAGCACUAGUGUCUUCUAGCUGCCCAAGCCGGAAACCUGAACAUCAACCUUAACAUGUCCCACAUUCAAUCAAGCACCAAAUUCCAUCAUUUCGCCUCCUAUCAUGGCCCAAAUCCGCUCCCUUCUCUUCACAUCCCUGUCACAUGGCUGGUCCAAGCCUCCAUCCCUUCUUGCCUGGAUGACAUCAACAAUGUCCUCACCAGGCUCCACCUGACAAACCAUCCACCACUCUGCAGCCAGAAUGAAUGGCCGUCUCAA
Molecule: long non-coding RNA, 5215 nt
Filed under: Sus scrofa (pig)
Lineage: Eukaryota; Metazoa; Chordata; Mammalia; Artiodactyla; Suidae
Description: lncRNA (ENSSSCG00065024948.1)
Source: RNAcentral